GGCGAACGGGUGAGUAACGCGUGGAUAAUCUACCUUUGAGAUGGGGAUAACCAUUGGAAACAGUGGCUAAUACCGAAUAAAGUCAAGCAAGAUGUUGUUUGAUGAAAGGAGCCUUUAAAGCUUCACUUGAAAAUGAGUCUGCGUCUUAUUAGCUAGUUGGUAGGGUAAGAGCCUACCAAGGCUAUGAUAAGUAACCGGCCUGAGAGGGUGAACGGUCACACUGGAACUGAGAUACGGUCCAG
RNAcentral lists this ribosomal RNA (242 nucleotides) under uncultured bacterium. RNAcentral describes it as "partial 16S ribosomal RNA". It matches the Rfam family "Bacterial small subunit ribosomal RNA", at positions 97 to 334 of the family's 1533-position model. The record is from RNAcentral.